This 29-nucleotide non-coding RNA is filed under the name Mus musculus (house mouse). Lineage: Eukaryota; Metazoa; Chordata; Mammalia; Rodentia; Muridae. The record is from RNAcentral.
UGCUCAGUCCACAAAGUCCUCCAUCGCAA